RNAcentral lists this ribosomal RNA (270 nucleotides) under uncultured archaeon. RNAcentral's name for it is "partial 16S ribosomal RNA". It matches the Rfam family "Archaeal small subunit ribosomal RNA", at positions 477 to 747 of the family's 1478-position model. The record is from RNAcentral.
CAGCACCUCAAGUGGUCAGGAUGAUUAUUGGGCCUAAAGCAUCCGUAGCCGGCGCUGUAAGUUUUCGGUUAAAUCUGUACGCUCAACGUACAGGCUGCCGGGAAUACUGCAGAGCAAGGGAGUGGGAGAGGUAGACGGUACUCGGUAGGAAGGGGUAAAAUCCUUUGAUCUAUUGAUGACCACCUGUGGCGAAGGCGGUCUACCAGAACACGUCCGACGGUGAGGGAUGAAAGCUGGGGGAGCAAACCGGAUUAGAGACCCGAGUAGUCC